RNAcentral lists this ribosomal RNA (253 nucleotides) under uncultured bacterium. RNAcentral describes it as "partial 16S ribosomal RNA". It matches the Rfam family "Bacterial small subunit ribosomal RNA", at positions 524 to 776 of the family's 1533-position model. The record is from RNAcentral.
UACAGAGGGGGCAAGCGUUAUUCGGAAUUAUUGGGCGUAAAGGGCGCGUAGGCGGCUAUCCAAGUGGCGGGUGAAAUCCCUCGGCUUAACCGAGGAACUGCCUGCCAGACUGGAUGGCUCGAGACCGGGAGAGGUGAGUGGAAUUCCCAGUGUAGCGGUGAAAUGCGUAGAUAUUGGGAGGAACACCAGUGGCGAAGGCGGCUCACUGGACCGGUACUGACGCUGAGGCGCGAAAGCGUGGGGAGCAAACAGG